This 199-nucleotide ribosomal RNA is filed under the name uncultured bacterium. RNAcentral describes it as "partial 16S ribosomal RNA". It matches the Rfam family "Bacterial small subunit ribosomal RNA", at positions 328 to 539 of the family's 1533-position model. The record is from RNAcentral.
ACGCUCGACACCUACGAGAGGCAGCAGUUGGGAAUAUUGGACAAUGGAGGAAACUCUGAUCCAGUGACGCCGCGUGAAGGAAGAAGGUCUUCGGAUUGUAAACUUAUUUUGUCAGGGAAGAAAAAUGACUGUACCUGAAGAAAAAGCACCGGCUAACUACGUGCUAGCAGCCGCGGUAAUCUGAGCGGGCUGGCAAGGC